This 44059-nucleotide long non-coding RNA is filed under the name Vitis vinifera (wine grape). RNAcentral's name for it is "long non-coding RNA (VVIN_LNC001044)". Lineage: Eukaryota; Viridiplantae; Streptophyta; Magnoliopsida; Vitales; Vitaceae. The record is from RNAcentral.
AAAGGAUCUCUUAUGCAUCUUAGAGAUAUCUCCUACACCUUCAUGGAAGGUUCUUAUUGGCAUAGCACUUAAAUGAUACAUGUCUACCCAAAUUGGGAGCAAGGCUGAGGAGUCUAAUUGAGCUUGGUGUCCCUUAAUGGUGAGCUUGGCCUCCCAAACCACCAAGUAUAUGGGAUGAUUUUAGGGUUCUAAUUUGGUGAGUAGAGUUGGAGGUUUGCCAAGACAAGUCGACCCAAACAUUGUUAAACUCAUUUUGCUCAAAUUAAGAGAGUGAGACUACUUUGCCAGCUAUAUGUCACUAUCUAUGAAUGCUUAUCCAAAACAUCAACAAGGAUACAUUACUCUUAUUAAUUGAUGCAAACAUGGCACCACCUGGUUGGUCCAUGUACUUGUGCCAAAAUCUCAUUGGUUUGUGAUGUAGCACUAAGCAAACUCUUUUUCAUAGAACCUGUCACACACACACAAGAUGUGAAAGGUGCAGUACUAAGUCUCUACUCAGCCAGCCUUAACCCAAUGCAACAAAGGUAACACAACAAACAUAACCCAACAAGAUAUAGUAGAACUCUUCCCAACUUGUUUACUCCUCAAGAAUUACAAGAUAACAAAAUUUGGUUAAGUGUCCCCACAGAUUUUUCUACACCCAAGUUAAUAGAACUGAAAAUCCCACCAGUCUCAUACACCUCACUGUGUAUGCCUAUUUUUCCUUUUUCUUUUUUUAAUAUCUUAGGCAAUAGAAGAACCCCUCUUAUUUAUAUCCAGAGGCUACACCCUCUGUUUAAUUUGAUUUGAAUUCAAAUCUAGCAGUUGGCAGUUAUAAAAACAUCCAGCUGACCACACCCUUUUCCCAAGAGGUGCAUCUUCAUGCCACACAGAGCCAACACCAAGCCUUCUGAUGCAUUUCUCUAAGCCAUCUGCAGCCACCAGUGGUGUCUCUUCCCCAAGAGGUGCCACAUAACUACCCUUGCAACCCAUCAAAUAGCCCCUCUGAUGGUGUCAGCCAUUUAGCCUUGUCCAACCCAACUUGUUACAAGUCCACCCCUAUCAAUGCUUUGGCCCGUGUGUGCAAGUCAGCCCACCCAUGCAUGUCAUCCACCAAUCAUGCAUGCUAGCUCGUCUUUGCAUAUAUCUUUGUAACGACUCGCACCCAACCAUAUAGGUAUUGUCCACUCUAGGCUCAAAGGGGCCCUCAUGGUUUUAAAACAUGUCUACAAGGUUAAGAGAAGCUCAUAUUCCUAUAGCAUCAGGAACUUUCUCCCUUAUCCGAUGUGAGACAGCACAAGCACCCCCUCAUGCAGAUAUAACAUCCCCGUUGUAUCCUAUGGGAUUAUAGGGCCAAAUAGACAAACACCCCUCACAAGGCCAAACAAACCCCCACACCAAGGUCAAUGAUUGACUCUGAUACCAUUUGUAAUAACCCACACCCAACCAUGUAGGUAUUGUCUACUCUAAGCUCAAAGGGGCACUCACAAUUCUGAAACGCGUUUACAAGAUUAAGAGGAGUCCAUAUUUAUAUAAUCUCAUAAACUUUCUCCCCUAUUUUAUGUGGGAUAGCACACAACUCAUCCAAUUGCACCCAUGUGCCUCAACCCAUUACUUGACACCAUACAUCAAUGUGCCUCAGCCCAACAUGUGAUGCUCAUGCAGCAAGCUACCUCCUUGUGCCCCUGGCACAUUAGAGAUUGUUGCCCAUGUCUUCAACGCCCAUGGGACAGCCCCUUGCAAGGCCCUACCACACCUUACAAGCCACAAGAGUCACCAUACCAUGCCCAUGUCAUGCCCCUUGCUCUUACCUUGCAUCAACCAUGCAUCAACAUGAAUAUGUCAACUUGUGUUGUUGCCACAACACCAUCAAGUCAUCUCCUUGUGCCCUUGGCACAUUGAAGUUAGCUGCCCAUGUCUAGACACCCAUGGGUCAAGCCUUGCCUCACCUUGCAAGCCACAAGAGUUAGCAUAGCACCCCUAUGUCAUGCCUCACCCUCUUGUCAUGCAUUAGCCACCACCAUGUCUAAGUUAGCUUUGUUGUUGCAACAGCACCAUGCCACAUCCAAGUCCCAUCUUAAUGCAGCAACAAGUCAUGACUUUGCACCCAUGGCCUGCCAUCUCCACACACAAGACAUUACGGCCUUUUGCUAAGCCACCUCAUUACACAAGGCAUUGCACUCUUGAGCUACCAUCAAGAGGGGUGACCACAGAAUGUCCUUGUGCCAUGUCAGCCACAGAUUGCACACUACCACAUGUUGUUGAACCCAUGUGUGAGUGCUAGCAGAGCUGACCCGAGUGUCUUGCCCAUGUCUGAGGUCUCACAUCACGUCCCCUAGGUGUGGCCAAGCCUAAGCAACAUAGCCAUCCUCGAGCCAUUCUCCACCUCUCCUUGCUCCCUUCUAUAGAGCAUUUUAAGCUUUUUUCAGGAGACAUCAAGGGUGCUUGAGGAGGCAUAAUGAUUUUUCAUUAGUUCACAAAAAUUCGAAAAAUCACAAUUCCACUUAGACUCCCUUUUGAAGGUUCCUCUCCAAAGGAAAAAUACCGACAUGGCGCAAAUUUUGAGGCUAAGUCAAGCCCUGUCACACAUGUUGCCUUGUUGUGCAUCAAGUGCAGCAAUGGCCAUGUCAUGUGUGCCAAUGGUUUUUUCACGUGCAGCAAUGGCUGUGUCGUGUGCAGCAGCCCACUAUGCUGUGUGUGGCACAGCCUGUGUCGGAUGCUGGUGGUGUGCAGCAAUGUGCUAAGCCACGUGCUGCCUGACACCGCAUCGUGCCAACAACACCUGAGUUGCACCAUCAGUCACCGACAGCCCACUCAUUUGAUGCAUUAAACCUUUGCUUCCACCUUGCCUCAUUCUCCUGAGACCCUCAUAGGUGCAAGGUGUGUACCCAUGAGGUCCUUGGCAUCAUGUCAUCUAAAUCAAGGGACUAACAGAACCCUUAUAAAUAGGUCUAAAGACUCAUUGUUUGAAAGGAUCAAAAUUUUUGGCUUUAUGAAACUGAUUCUCUCCUUUCAAAAGCCUAUUGAUGACCACUCCCAUUCUUUCCAACCUUUCUCUCACCUCUCACUUUGCUUUACUUUUCCCUAGAACCCCCACACAGCAAUAUCCAUAUAUAGGAAAGACAAGGAUUUUGGUUUCUCUUAAGUUCAACUUCCAACCUUUUGCUUCUUUGUUGUUGUUCAAUGAUACAUAGACACUUUAGUUUCAGCCAAAAUACCCAUGUCGACAAGUGGACACGAGUGUGGAUGUGAGAUUUGUGCCUCAUACGAAUAUGUUGCAUCAAAUACAACUAUUUAGCUACAUUAUCUCUUUCUUUAAUUCUUUUAAAAUUAUGUUUACAAUUGUUUCAUACAUUUAUUUGUCUCUUUCUUUAUUUUUUAAAAAUUAUACUAGAUAAUAAUAUAAAAUAAAAAAUUAAAAUUAAUUUCUAAACUCUUGUAAUAAAAAAGUAUAGAAUUUUUAAAUUAAUUUCUAACUCUUGUAACCAAAGUGUUUUAUCUCUUUCUUAAUUUUUUAAAAUUAUAAUAAAAUGUAACAAUUAAUAUCAUAUAAAAUUUAAAGAUAAAAUAUAACAAUUAAUAGCAUAAAAAAUAUAAAGACAAGUAUCAAAGUUAAUAUCUUAAAAAAUAUGGAGAUAAAUUAUAAUCAUUAAUAUAAAAAAUCAAAAUUUUUGAAUGAUAAGAAAUUAAAUAUGAAUUAGUAGCAUCCUAUUAAAAUAAAAGACAUAAUAAACGAGUUCUUCAUGUACAAUUAGUAGUAACAUUGAAGCAAAAUAAGCUUAGCAUCUUAUUAAAAUAGAAAAAACAUAUAACAAACAAGUUCUUCAUAUACAAUUAGCAGUAAUAUCAAAGUAAAAUACGUUUAGCAUCUUAUUAAAAUAGAAAAUAUAUAAUAAAUAUAUCUUCCAAUUACAAUUAACCAUGUAGUAUCGAAGUUGACUUAUUUUACUAUAUUUAAAUUUACUAUUAAUUUAUGUUUAAUUAAUGUUGUAUCCAAAUGCCCGCACCUAUAGUUGAGAUCCUUCUGAACUGAAUCCUCGUGUCCUAAGAUUUUGGAAUGCUAAGGAUCCAAAAACUAGACGCAUACGCACACCAGCACCUAACACUCAACACCUUGACACCCAUACCUGAACCCAUGUAACAUAGCAAUUAUCCACUAGUAAUGAUUUUCCUUGUAUCACCCACUUCUAAUUGUCGUUGAUAGAGUUUCAAAAACUAUUCAUUAUUAUUUUUUUCCUUGUGGUACCUCUUUGCAGCAACUUCUGAUAUCUUCCAUUCUUGACCACUUCCAUGCACCACCACAAAUCCACCUUCUCUCAUCACCUCUCCCAUUCUCCUAUUUCUCUCCGUAAUUGAAUGAUGAAUUUCGAGUUCACCAACCAGGCUUCAACACUCAGAAAAAAAUCUGUCUCAGCUUAGUUGCUCCAUUGAUAGAACAGAAUAUAUAGAAUAAAGUAACUGAAAGAAAACAAACGGUCAGUAAUUUAUUUACUUUUGUUGGUAGAGUCUAGAAGUAAAGAUGUCAUUUUGGGUUUUUAAUACAUUAGUUUAAUGCUUGUUUUAGACCCAUCAAACAUGACACUGAAGAAUCCAAACCAUGUUCUAGCACAUGCAAAUUCAAAAUCCCCAUGGCAUUUUGAAUCUCCAUUGCAUUUGAGAUCCCUCGUCUAAAUGGCUCAUUUGUAUACUUCUCCAUAAUCUCCAGUUUUUCCUCUUCUAAUUUUAGAACCCCACCUUUCACACCCUAAAUGUUAAGUUAGUCCAACCUACAUAUACUUUAGCUAUAAGGUCAACAUAUUCCAAGAAACUAAUCUCAUUCUCAUGGAGAACUCAAAGCUAACCUGAAAGACAGAUUAGGAUUAGUUCCUUUCUUUCAUAAAGAGGGCUGGAGUUGCUUCCACAUUCCAGAAUAACUUAUGUUUGCUUUCAACAUUCUGAAGAAAAGGUUUGCUUCCAUAUUCCAGGAAAUUAGCUUUGAAUAUCCUGAGAACCGGUUUCCUUCCUCAAUCUGAAAAUAGGCUGACCGUAAACCCACUUCCCAAAUUUAUCUUUGAAAACCCAAUUUAUAUUGUCUAUAAACAAAAAUCAAGGAUUUCAUAAUGAUUUCUUACUGAGAAAGGAAAAGAACUUCAUAAGGGAACUUUAGAGCUUUUCUCUGCCUUGUUCUUGCACUCACUUGGUAGAAGAAUAAGGAAAAAGGAAAUGAGGAAGUGUCAUUGACCAGAGAAAGCUUCAGACAGUCAACUAAAAAGAUAGAAUUUAAUUAAAGAAGAAAAUAGAAAUUGAGGAGGUCCCAGAAUGAGAAGGGAAAGAAAAAUAGGAAGGUAUUAAAGAACAUGGAGAGACACCAUGAAAUAAACACUAGUAGACUCAAAGGGAAAAAGAAAAGGGCAGUCAUAAAGUAUUGAAGAAAAGGUAGAAAGUAUUGAAGAAAAGGAUGAAAUAGUUAAGGGAAAUGGUUUUCUUAUGUUUGCAAACCAUGAGAAAAGGUAAGGAAAAAUAGGGCAGAAAAUGCUAACACAUUUUGCUCCCCAUUUCCUCAAAAAUAGGUAAGGAAAAUUGGGGAAAGUGCAUUACUUAAACUUAAUUUCUCUCUCAACUUUUCAAUGGGCAAGCAAACAUAAGAAAAAUUUUAUAAUUUUUCUUUGCUUUUUUUUUUUUCUUCUACUUUUUCUCUAUUUUCUUUCCUUCAACCUUUUGGAAACCAAACAUGACAAAAAAAGUAAGUUUAUUAGGGGAAAAAAGUGAGUUUUCUCUUUACUUAACAUAGAAAAUUAUUCUUAUGUUCUUAUUGAAAUGACAAGAAGAAAGAAAAAAAAGGUUCAAACAAACACACUUCCAAUGUUUAAAAAAUAGGUGAGAACUACAAUAAUUUUCUUCCUUUAUUGAGAUAUAAAUAGGCAAUCUGAAUUACUUUCUGGAUGCAAACCUAACGAUAGGUUUUUCUUUCUUUUAGUAUAUUCUACAUAAUGGUUGGAUUUGCUAAAAAUAUUAUACUCUUCUUUUGACUCGUUUAAUCAAUCUAAAUGCUUAGAUUCUAUGACACUUUGAUUUUUUUUUUUUCUUUGGCACUUUGAGUUCAAAUUUUCAAUUCAAAUUAUUAUACAUAUAUAGAAAAGUUUGAAGUGUAAAGAUAGUUUUUGCAAAGCAUGGCUACAAGAAAGUAGCAAGUUAGGCUCAAUGGAGCAUACUUAGGAUUGAAAUUGUAUUAAAUAGUGUUUUGCUACUAGUUUAAUUACUCAUAAACUAGAUAGUCGAUGUUCCGUAGUUUUUAGCAAAUAAAUUAUUUUUUAGCAAGUAACAAAUGGUAUUACAACAAGUAUCUAAGAUUACUAUUCAUGGUAUUGUCACAAAUUACCUUUCACAUUACUAUAGCAUGGUGCCAUUCAUGCUACUGCAGCAAUGAGUUAUCAUUAGGGUUUUUUUAUUCUUUGUCCUUUUUGAUAAUUUUCUUGAGCUUCUAAUUGUUUUUAGUUUCUUGGACUAUAAACAAAAUGCUCAAAAUAACACAAGAAAGUCAUAAAUAAUGAAACCGAUCAUCCAAAGGGCAACAGGAAGCUAUCAUACUACAUAAUAUUUGCUUUCAGGAAAUCAAGAAAGUUAGCAAUACCUGCUCUCCUUUUUUAUAAUUUUUCCUAGCAUAGAAGCAAUAUGCAGCAAGAUCUUCCUUGUAGCCCCCAUCUGUUAACCUCUGGGAGAGAACAUCAUCUUGCUCUGCAUCUGAAUUGCUAGUAGCAUCCUUAUUCCAGAAAGAACUAUCUUGCAAGGAAGAUUCAUUUCUUGAACCCUUCAAAUCUUCCCAGCCACAUGGUUCUUCUCCAGGGGCAGCAUAAUUGUAGAAGUCCCCAACAGGGCAUAAACAUCCAGCGUCAUCCCAUGGUAUAUGCAUCGUGCGUGAGGAUACCUUCAAGCAUAUUGAAGUCCAAAUGUUUUUACUAUUGCCAGUAAGAAACAGCAUAAAAAGAGAGAAACACAAGUGUAGAAUGGUACAUUGUUUGUGAGGAUAUCCUCAAGCACAGUGGAAUUUUGAAUGUCUUAUUAUUGCAACUAAGAAAAGAGUUUGAAACGAAGAGGAAAGAGAAUUACUAUAGAAUGUAUAAUUCUUGCAAGAGGUACACAAAUAUGACUUCUCUUUGUGCAACACACUGAAUUCGUGACACACAACUCAUCAGAUAAAGAAUUUUUUUUUUUUUGAUAAUAAACAAGAUAUGCAUUAGAAAAAGCUAAACGCCACAAAGCAUACAGGGAGUAUACAAGACAGCUACAGCCUCAAAAAGAGAAAAAGGACCAAAAAGAACUACCUCCCCUUAAGUGGAAGCUAUCCACUCCAAAAAACCUAUAAGGAAGAAAGACUCCUCACCUAAAUACACUUUGGCCCAAUUCCAUAAGUUACAGACAAAAGAAUUCUUUAAUUUCUGAAUAUUCAAUGCACCCCCCCUAAAGGCUAACCUAUUCCUCUCCUUCCAAACAGUCCAAAAAAUAUACAACGGAAUGGAUUUCCAAAUCUUUUUCCUUUUCUUCCCUACAAAUGAACCCCUCCAAGAGAUUAAAGCCUCCUUUACAGUUUCUGGGAAGACCCACUUAAUAUCUAUCAACCCAAAAAUAAUAUCCCAUAGGGCUCUAGUCACUAUACAGUGUAAAAGAAUAUGAUUUACAUUCUCUUCUUCACAACCACACAAAAAACAACAAUUUGGGAGUUGCACCCCUCUUAUCUAGAGUCUAUCCAGAGUGAGCACCUUCCCCCACGUAGCCUCCCAAGCAAAAAAGCAGACUUUAGUUGGCACCCUAUCCACUCAUAUUCUCCUUGCGGGAAACACUAUGGCAUUAGGCUUGUCCAACAGCCUGUAAGCUUCUUUAACCCUGAAAAGACCAUUUCUUCCCUGCCUCCACUUAACUGAAUCAUCCUCCAGGGACGGCCUAUGACCCCUCAAAGUAUGGAGCAAAUCACCAACCAUAUCCAUCUCCCAAUCAUUGAAGUCCCUCACAAAAACAAGAUUCCAAUCUCCUUGGCCCGAAUCUUGGUCCCACAUCUCCUCAAUCGUAGCAUCCCUAUGCGCGACAAGGACAAAAAGAUGAUUGAAGCAUUAGGACAACGGAGUGUCAGUGCACCAACUAUCUUUCCAAAAUUUGAUUUUGGAACCCUUCCCAACUAGAAAAGCCAAAUUUUCCCAGCACCAUUCAAAUUCUUUCAUAAUCUCCUUCCAGACCCCUACUCCAGCCGCCCCACUAGCCUUCUUUGACCUCCAACCAUAUUCCUCUUGCCCAUAUUUCGUAGUAAUCACUUGUUUCCAAAGGUUAUCCUUUCACAAGCAAACCUCCAAGUACACUUGCCCAGCAAGGCUCUAUUCAGAGUGGCUAUUCUCCUUAGUCCUAGCCCUCCAUUGAGUUUUUCUGUACAGACCACAUCCCAUUUAACUAGAUGAACUUUUCCCUCCAAGUUUCCUCCCCCCCAUAGAAAAUCUCUUUGGGUUUUCUCCACUCUUUUAGCAACAGACUUGGGCAUUCAGAAGAUAGACAUUUGGUAAAUUGGCAUGCUAGCCAAGGUACUUUUUAUGAGAGUGAUCCUCCCCCCUUUGGAGAUGUACUGUCUUUUCCAAAGCGCAAGUCUCCUCCUGACCCUCUCUUCCACUCCAUCCCACAUAGAAGUAGCCCUAUUGGGGACCCCUAAGGGGAGACCCAAAUAGUGAGAGGGCAGAGACCCCACCCUGCACCCUAGCUCAGCUGUCAUCUCAAGAAUCUCCUCCACUUCUCCAACUGGAAUGAUUUCGCUUUUGGCUAGAUUAAUUCGAAGACCCGAAGCCACUUCAAACCAAAAGAGAAUCCAGCUUAGAUGAGAAACUUGCUCUUUGCUCGCCUCACAAAACACAAUUGUGUCAUCAGCAAAAAAUAGGUGGGAGAUAUUCAAGGAAGUUCUACUAUCACCUCGAAUGUUGCAUCCUGAUAGAAAUCCCCCCUCCACCGCUCUCCUGAUAAGGACGUCCAGAAUCUCCAUUCCCAUAACAAAGAGGUAAGGGGAUAGAGGAUCCCCUUGACGAAGCCCUCUAGUGCUAGGGAAAAACCCAGUUGGCACUCCAUUAACAAGAAUAGAGAAUUUAGCAGAAGACACACAGCUCCACAUCCAAUCCACCCACUUGGUCCCAAAGCCCAUUUUUUGAAGGACCUUCAUUAAGAAAUUCCAAUUGAUGCUGUCAUAAGCUUUUUCUAUACCCAAUUUGCAAAUAAGGCCCUUUUCUUCUCUUCUGCCACGAAUCUAUCACCUCAUUAGCAAUUAAGGACGCAUCCAAAAUUUGUCUUCCCAUUACAAAGGCAUUCUGAGCAAUAGAGACUACCUUACCAAUCACUUUUUUGAGCCUAUUAGCUAAGACUUUAGCCAAAAGUUUAUAGAGCCCCCCCAACAGACUGAUAGGUCUAAAGUCUCCCUGAUCCUCAACCCCGCUUUUCUUAGGUAUCAACACCAAAAAAGUAUUGUUGAGGCUCUUAACAAAGGAAUUAUGCUCAUGAAAUUCUUUAAACAUCUCCAUGAUCUCCUCUUUGGUAAAAUAUCAUGCGUUUUGCCAGAAGGUUACAGUAAAACCAUUCAGGCUAGGGGCUUUAUCCUCAUUCAUCUCCAUCAACGCCGAGUGAAUCUCAAUCUCUGCAAAUGGGAUUUCCAGACUCUCUGCUUCUUGCUGGCUGAUGCAACCCACCUGAAUUCUACCAAUAUCCACCUGCCAAACCAUAUCUUCAAAAAGCAUCUGCUGAAACGAAUUCACAACUCCUUCUCUCACCUCCUGCUCCUCUACUAGCCACUCCCCAUUAACCUUAAUUCUGUCCAUAGCGUUGUUUCUUCAAUGAGCACUUGCCAUUCUAUAGAAAAACCCCGUGUUUCUAUCCCCCUCCCUUAACCAAAUCUCCCUUGAGUGUUGUCUCCAAUGGNNNNNNNNNNNNNNNNNNNNNNNNNNNNNNNNNNNNNNNNNNNNNNNNNNNNNNNNNNNNNNNNNNNNNNNNNNNNNNNNNNNNNNNNNNNNNNNNNNNNNNNNNNNNNNNNNNNNNNNNNNNNNNNNNNNNNNNNNNNNNNNNNNNNNNNNNNNNNNNNNNNNNNNNNNNNNNNNNNNNNNNNNNNNNNNNNNNNNNNNNNNNNNNNNNNNNNNNNNNNNNNNNNNNNNNNNNNNNNNNNNNNNNNNNNNNNNNNNNNNNNNNNNNNNNNNNNNNNNNNNNNNNNNNNNNNNNNNNNNNNNNNNNNNNNNNNNNNNNNNNNNNNNNNNNNNNNNNNNNNNNNNNNNNNNNNNNNNNNNNNNNNNNNNNNNNNNNNNNNNNNNNNNNNNNNNNNNNNNNNNNNNNNNNNNNNNNNNNNNNNNNNNNNNNNNNNNNNNNNNNNNNNNNNNNNNNNNNNNNNNNNNNNNNNNNNNNNNNNNNNNNNNNNNNNNNNNNNNNNNNNNNNNNNNNNNNNNNNNNNNNNNNNNNNNNNNNNNNNNNNNNNNNNNNNNNNNNNNNNNNNNNNNNNNNNNNNNNNNNNNNNNNNNNNNNNNNNNNNNNNNNNNNNNNNNNNNNNNNNNNNNNNNNNNNNNNNNNNNNNNNNNNNNNNNNNNNNNNNNNNNNNNNNNNNNNNNNNNNNNNNNNNNNNNNNNNNNNNNNNNNNNNNNNNNNNNNNNNNNNNNNNNNNNNNNNNNNNNNNNNNNNNNNNNNNNNNNNNNNNNNNNNNNNNNNNNNNNNNNNNNNNNNNNNNNNNNNNNNNNNNNNNNNNNNNNNNNNNNNNNNNNNNNNNNNNNNNNNNNNNNNNNNNNNNNNNNNNNNNNNNNNNNNNNNNNNNNNNNNNNNNNNNNNNNNNNNNNNNNNNNNNNNNNNNNNNNNNNNNNNNNNNNNNNNNNNNNNNNNNNNNNNNNNNNNNNNNNNNNNNNNNNNNNNNNNNNNNNNNNNNNNNNNNNNNNNNNNNNNNNNNNNNNNNNNNNNNNNNNNNNNNNNNNNNNNNNNNNNNNNNNNNNNNNNNNNNNNNNNNNNNNNNNNNNNNNNNNNNNNNNNNNNNNNNNNNNNNNNNNNNNNNNNNNNNNNNNNNNNNNNNNNNNNNNNNNNNNNNNNNNNNNNNNNNNNNNNNNNNNNNNNNNNNNNNNNNNNNNNNNNNNNNNNNNNNNNNNNNNNNNNNNNNNNNNNNNNNNNNNNNNNNNNNNNNNNNNNNNNNNNNNNNNNNNNNNNNNNNNNNNNNNNNNNNNNNNNNNNNNNNNNNNNNNNNNNNNNNNNNNNNNNNNNNNNNNNNNNNNNNNNNNNNNNNNNNNNNNNNNNNNNNNNNNNNNNNNNNNNNNNNNNNNNNNNNNNNNNNNNNNNNNNNNNNNNNNNNNNNNNNNNNNNNNNNNNNNNNNNNNNNNNNNNNNNNNNNNNNNNNNNNNNNNNNNNNNNNNNNNNNNNNNNNNNNNNNNNNNNNNNNNNNNNNNNAUUCCCUUUGCCCUGAGAAGGACCUUUCUGCUUAUUCCCCCCCUCAUAAUUGACAGAACAUUCCAACCUCUUUAGUUCCCUUUCAAACUUGGACUUCUCCAAGAGCUCUUUGCUGUGUAUCUUUUCCCGCCUCUUCUGAUUUUAAUUAGAAAAUUCAAUAUCUCCUUUUCCAGCCCCUCCGUAGAGAAUCCCAGAAAUUGGCUAAAUUUUGCUAAGCUACAGUCCUCCCAUAGUUCCUCUUUCUCAUUUUCGGUAUCUUGAGAUCCAGAGGCACCAGUAUUCCCCUCCUUGCCCCUAACCUUGUCUCUGUUUUUGUUGGCCUCUCCCAACUUCCAGGAUCCAUUCUCGUUCUCAACGUUCCCCUCAUAGACUGUUAACCAAGUUGACUUGUCCCCCCAUAAUUCCUCCUCUAUUCCCCCUGGACGAUCGAAAGACUCCCCCUCUGGAGCCCGAUCAGAAUUAGAAGAGAGAGGAAGAGAUGUCCCCAUAACCCGAUUUCCUUUAGGAUGGGAAUUCAGGACAUACCUCUUAGCUUCCUCUUCAAGCGCUCGGUCAGUCAUGGAGAAGCCAUCAUCCCUCUGUUCCCUUCUAAUCUCCUCUGGCACCCAGCUCGUCAAAGGAUCCUCUAGAAUGGAUCCUUUUCCGGAGAUAAAACGGCCCAAAAAACCAGCCUUCUCUUGGGUAGCAGUUGGGCCAUCCCUUUCCAAGCCUUCCACCUCAACUAAAGGAUGGCAGACCAGUUCAACAGCCCAAUUACUAGACGAUGGGCCUGCCUCUGACUCACCAGCCACCUUUGACUUAUCUCUUAACUUUCGGCCCAAAGGCCUGUCCAUCUUAGCCAACCCACCAUCCUUCUCCAGCUCUUUAAGACCCAUAUUUAAGCCAUAUGAGGUCAACCCAACCACUUUUCCAUCUAAAUGGACCCAAUCCCGGGGCAUCGGGCCAUGGAUCUAGUUCCAGGGCUCUAGACCCGACCCAUUCUGCUGCAGAAGCCUCCCAUCAUCUGGCAGAUGCCGUUCCUCGGUUCCCGCGUCUAUCAGUUCCUUCCCCACACGCUUCUCUGCGCGUGAGUACGUGUCACCCCUGACCUCGGUUCUCCUUCUGAUUUCCGUCACAGAGAAGAUCCGUCUCACCACCGGCCUAAUCUCCCACCACAGCGCCAAAGUGUAAACCUCCUCCUCUACCUCAAUUUCUAACAUACUCGGUCUAAAAUCACCUCUUAUUUUGACUAGUAUCCUAGCCCAUUGAAUCUCCCCCAUCAACCUUGUCCGCUCGUCAAUUUCAACAAAUCCCCCACAUUCCUCCCCUAUUUUCUUCAGAAUCACCGGGCUCCAUAACGAAAUUGGAGGACCGAAAAUUUUAACCCAAGCUUCCUGAACCAUCUCCUCCUCUACCCAACAACCCGACUUUGGAUUCCAGAGAUCCAACCCUAAGUGGGUUCCUCCCAUCACUCUGCUCCCCGAUGAGACCACACGGUGAGCCUCUCUUAGAUCUUCAAACUCCAACAAUGCCCUACCUCGUUCCAACUUGGCCAGCCCUAACUUGCCUUUUAGGCCCCAAGAAUUCGCCCAAAGACUUUCCAGCCUCUCCAAGUCUUCUUCUUCCUUUUUGUUGGACUUCCAGCUCGCGACGAGGCAGGACUCUAGCUUCUGUAAGUUUCCAACAAUCUCCUCCCUAGUGAUCUUCAUCUUGAUUGCAUUUGAGCCUUUCCGAUUUGUACUCAUGACUGCUUCUGCGUAUGAUUUCGCCGGAGUAGCUUUUCCGCCGACCCUUACUUCCUGCAAAUCUGUUCUUCUACCAGCCAGCUCUUCCAUUUGACGAAUCAUCUCCGCCAUAUCCGUCCACCCUCUUUUGUCCCUCCUACCUCUCGGUAUGAAGAUACAGAACCUUUUUCGUUCCAGAUCCACAACCCCCAACCUUAAAAAGCCACCCGCUCUAUUGAAGCCCCGAGCCAAAGUGUACCGCUUACCUCUUUCUCUCCACUCCUUUCCCCAUCUCCCUUCUUUUUCGUCUCGUAUACAGUGGAUUAGCCCCUCCUUGAAAAGCCCUAAGCUUUCCAGCCCUAAUCGAACCCAUGUCGAGACCCCCCGCUUCUUCUCCACAAUGAGGAUCUGACGUUUCCCUUUCCUUUCAUCCAGGGCAAGCUCGAAAGUCUUGGAUUCCACCGUGAAGCUUCGCUUUCGACUCGCCUCACCGGUCUCAUCAUUGUCGCCGUCGCACGCGCUUUCACUCUCCCUCACGCCCUCUCUCUCUCUCUCGUCCUCUCUCUCUCUCUCUCCCAUCACUAGCGGGAACUACAGUUACGAAGACAGGCAAUCAAUAACACCUACAAAGGACAACAACAAAUGUAAAAAUGCUCCAGAAACAAAUUCUGAAAUCAUAGCACUCCUCUUCAAGAGAGGAUUAGCCACAGGAUAGCUAGAUCAGUGGGAUCAAGAGAAAUAACAGUCCAUAUUUCUUGCCUUCCACUGACCAAUUCAGUCAUCACUCACCAUAAAGAAUUUAAAGAGACACAUAUAUACAAACAGGGGUUGGACAGAACAAUAUGAACAAGCAUAUUCCCAAAUAGAGACUCAAAUAUAUAUUGCCCUUCAAGCAACAUUCAACACUAGCAAUCCACAAUUCAAAAUGAUCGAGUUUCAAUAAACCAUAUGACAGACUGGAAGAAAAGAUGAAAGCAUUGGUUAACCACAGGAAGAAAGAUGGUCGGCCUGCAUUAAUGCUCUGAUAAACCACUUUUUUUUUUUCUGAAGUGUACUCACAGUUGAAGAAGCCCAGAGCCAUGCCCUGAAAUUUUGAAGCUGAGGCUUCAACUUAAGUUCUUCCAUUAGGGGAAUUGCCUUUUUCCACUCCAAUUCGGCCUUCAAUAUAGCCCUCUCCGUAACCCAUAUGGCAUCAUCCACCUAGAAAUCAUUUCAAACAUUUCAGAAACACAAGAAGUAAAACCAAAUCCAAACUCCUCAAAACAAGUAAAUCCCUAGUCAGAAACCAAACUUGAAGGGCUUGUUUCUCAAAUUGACUGAAAUUGGCUAGUGUAUCAUAACUUCGUGGCAACUGCAUUAAGUAAGGAUGCCACCAAGAACUCUUUCCUUUGCUCAUUUCGGCUAACAAACAAAUAGUCAAUAUCUGCACAAAAGAGAAUUCAAUAGACAUAGAAAAGUAUUCAAUUCAAUCAUUAUAUCAACACAAUGGGAUAUUUGGACAAAAAGGACAAAAAUAACUUUGAAAUUGGAAAAAUGACCCCCCUUGUUCAUUCUUUGAAGACAUAACCCCUUUUGGACAUUUUUACCCCUCUUUGUUUCACCAUAAAAAUGCAUUACUCUCUCUCUCUCUCUCUCCCACACACUCAUUUCCCUAACAUUUUUCUCACUCAUUUCACUCACUCUCUCUUCCUGUGAAGUCCCUCCAGCCCCUGCUUCUUCUCUUAUGACUUUGUCAGUCUCUUUCUCACUAGCACAAGGCUUCAUUCAUCUCUCUCAUCACCACAACUUCAUCAUUCUCUCUUAUUACAACAACUUCAUCUUCAUUUUAGCAUACAACAAAUUCAAAUAAACUUAAACAACACCUUCAUUUCAUGUUGCAUCAUAAUGUAUUGUGACUAAGUUCUAUUUACAAAAAACCUAAUUAAGGUUAAGUUCUUAGUCAUAAUAGUCAAAUAGUCACUUGAACUGUGUUGUAGUUAAGUUUCAUUUAAAAAGAACUUAUAUGGGAAUAAGUUCUUUGGACUUAAAUAUAGUUCAAGGCUUUUGUUAAAAAGGGUGUUGAAAAUCAAAAAAUUCAAAAAGAUCCCCAAACCACCAAUUGAAAUUCAAGGAUUUAGACCUAAAAAAAAAAAAAGACAAAAAUUGUUUAGAUCCCACCUACUAGAGUUUAGAUGGUGGUUCCAUGAAUCAUAGGACCUGACAAGAACGAAGUUGGAUCAAAGAUUUAGCUAGACUUUAGAUUUGAUCUCAUAUUUAAAUUUGUAUGGUUAAGAUGAAAGAACAAAAAAUCUCAACCAAGAACAAAAAGAAAGAUUGAAAAAUGAAAAGCAUAAUACUCCCUUUUUCCAAAGAUUGCCAUAAUAGUAAGGGAUGAAAUAAGGGAAAAUUAAAAAAUGAGUCUCUUGGUUGGGAAUUUUUUUCUUCCAAAGAGACUUCCUCUCCUUAAACAAAAUGAUGAAAUGUGAGAAAAUAAAAGAGAAAAUGAGUUUAAGAAGAAAUUUUUUUAGGAGAGGAAGAUUUUUGUCUAAAAGGGGUCAUACAUCAGCAUUUUUAGGUUAAGAAGACAUUUUUGCAAUGGACAAUUAUGUUAGAGGGAUAGAUGAAUAUGAUAAUGGCCCUAAAGGCUACAUACUUUGCAUAAUUGGGCUGAAAAGGUAAAAUAAGUUUCAAAAUUGCUCUAAAAGAUACAUGGACAAUUUGUCACCUAAAAAAGCCCCAUCCUUAAUAUGGCUUUUAAAAAAGGGACGAUCUCCAUUCUAGCAAAUGGGCCUAAGGUCUUUAUAAAAUACAUAUUUGGGCUCAAAAGAUAAAAAUUCAUGCAAUUGGAUGAAAGAUGCCACAUGAGCACUACAAAUAUUUAAUCUAUUAAAAUUUAUCCUCAAGUACUCAUGAUAAUUAAUAUAUUAAGAUUUCAACACUUAAAAAAUAAAAAAUAAAAUAUUUCUCAAAAUCUAUUUAAUAUUCAUAUAGUAUUUAUUUAUUUAUUUUAUUUUUUCAAGUUGCAACUACUUACUUAACUUAUUUCUCAUUAAUUUAGCGUUUGAUUAUCAUUAUUUUAUUUUGAAAUUUUUUAUUUUUGAAAUUUAACUUAAUAAAAAUUGUAGGCAUGUACAAAUCCGUCUAUCAUGAAUUUAUGUGCAUGUAUUUCUUCAUUUUUUUUGUUUGCCUUUCAUACCAAAUUAUUACAACUUUAUUUAUAUGCAUGCACAAAUGCCAAAUAUAAUUUUUUUUUCACACUUUUACGCAUGCACAAGACAUUCAUACUAAAUGUACAAACAUUUUCACAUUUUCAUUAACAUUCAUAAACAUGUGCAAAGUGCAAAUAUAUUCACAAUAGGCAGACUUGUGCAUGCAUUUUACAGCCAAUACAAAUACCUUAUACAUUUAGCACAAGUGCCUUAUACAUGCGUGAAAAUAUAUAUAUAAAAAAAAAUAGUAUUUGAUAUUUAUGCAUGUAUAUAAACAAUACGAUGUAUCUAGUUUUAUAAAAAACAAACAAAUAAAAUAAAGAAAAACACACAAAUAUAUUCACAACUGUACAAAUACCUAGUAUGUAGUAAGUGCAAGUGCCUUGUAUAUUUAGUAUAGGUCUCUUGUACAUGUGUGAAUGUAAAAGAAAUUACAUUUGAUAUUUAUGCGGGUAAACAAAAUUUACAAUGGUUUGAUAUUGAAAACAAACUAUGAGAAUCAAGAAAUAUGCAAAUAUAGCUGUGGGAAUGGUAAAUGGGCGUUUUUGUCCAUGAAAAUGCAAUUAUGCAAAGUAUGUAGCCUUCAGGACCAUCGCAAUCGUCCCUUUUUACAAAUUAAGUUACCCAUUUUAACUAAAUAUCCCCAACCCAAUUGCAUGACAUAAAAAUUGAUCCAAACCCAACACUCGAUUUGCUUUCUGAUAAAAUUAAAAUAAAAAAUCAUCUAAAAUAAAAGCUGGAUUAAUUUUCUUUCGUUUUGUUUCCUUUGAAUUCUGGAAAAUGAGAACUAUACCAUAACUUGAGUAAAUAGCCCUAUUAGGCUCAGUUAAGCGGAGCAUGUUUAUUUUUCUCCAGAAUUCCUACAUUUUCUGGGCAACCAAACAAAGUCCAGAAAAGAAGUUUGUUAUGAAAAACCUGAGGAGAGGAGAGAGAGGUGUGCCUUUUGACAGCAACAGAGAGCUUCUCAUCUUUCAACAGACUUUGGCUCGUCAUCAAGGCCGAUUUGGGAACUGUGAGAAUCAACUCCCCUUGACUGAGAUCACGCGCAGCCGCCAAGCCUCUACUGUAAAUCAGACAGAGAAAGAGAAGAAAUCCACUUCAGUGGAAGAGAAAGAAUAGGAAAAAAAAAUUAACAUCAUUUAGUUUUUUUUUUUUUUUGUGGAUUUUCUCGAAUCAAAUGAAGAGAAAAAGGGAGAAUGAAAAUGAAAGUACCCGCCUGCGUGAGGAAAGUGAGAGACGCAGAGAGAGUGGCCCACACAACAAUGAGGGAUUUGAAGACGAGACGGAACGGUGGUGGGGGUGGUGGUGAAGUCCGAGAUUCCCAGCUCCGUCGCCCAUUUCAGAAACCUUUCCAUUGCACAGACUUUUGGCACUGUAGGUGUACAGUUUGGAGACAUCAAAACUCCGUGUAUUACGAAAUUUUUUAGGACAAAUUUACCCAUCAAUAAAUAAAUCAAAUAAGUGAAAUGCCCUUAUAAACCAAUACACGUUCCUUCGGCUUUCGUCUUGCUUCGCACUUCGCAGUAUUUCUUCCCUUCAAAUAUUUCCAUAACUCUAUUAAACCUUUAAAAUAAAUUGAUCAUUAUAUAUAUAUAUAAUAAAUUAUUUUUUUAUUUUACAUUUUUUAGAAUAAAAAAUAAGUAUUUUCAGAUAAUAUCUUUUAAUUAUUUUUUUUAUUAUUUUUAUUUAUUUUCUAGGAUUGUUUUAAAAAAUAACUAUAUAAACAUGUAAAAUAAUUAAAAAUAAAACAUCAGAUAUAAAAAUUAUUUUUAAAAUAUAUUUAAAAAUAUUAAAACAAGUUAAAAACAUUUUAUGUUUUCAAACAUACUUUUGUUCUACAAAAAAUAGAGAACGAUUUUUUAAAACUAUUUUCAAAAACUAUUUUUCAGAAUUUAUUUUUAAAAUAGCUACUAAACAAAUAACAAUUUUUUAAGUGUUCACCAUUGUACCUCCAAAUAUUUCUUAGUAUGUUCAAAAUUAUACAUUUAAACAUAUUUUAAUUUUUUAUUUAAAAUAUAAUUAUAAUAAUAUUUAAUUUUUUAUAUAAGAUAUUGCGUAUAUACUAAAAGCUCUAAUGAUCAUACACUACACUUAGGUCUUUAUAAUAGAUGUAAUCCAUUAGAGUAGGAAAGCAUUGAUAGAAUGAAUAUGAGAGACCGAUGAAAGAAAUGAAAUGAUUAAUAUAAUUGGUAAAGACAAUAUGAAAGGACUUCUUGGAUAAAAGACUAAAAUAAUUUUUACUUAUGAAAAAAGUGGAGUAUAUACAAGUUCAACAAAUUAAGGCUCAUAUUAAAUGUAAGAGUUCAAAAAGAAAUGGAAGUGAAAAGUUGACAAAAGAAAAGAAGUGUGAGUAUCUAUUUGUUCUUAAAGGUGUGAAGUUUCCAAUUGAUGAGGAUUAGAAGUUGGUUGCUAAAUGUUGAACACAUAUCCUCAUUAGAGCACAAUAUCUUGAAUGACUUUUUUUCUAUCAUUUAAGUCAAGAACAAAUUAGUAUCUUAGUUGACAAGUUGAAAAAUAACAUGAAGUUAAAUGAGAUAAUAAGUGGUUCAAAGAUUUAUCACAUUGAGGACUAUAUACAAUCUAAAGUAUAUGCAUACUGUGAAGGAAUAUGCUUCUUUGGGAUCGCCAUGAAAGACUCUUCUAGAUACAUGAACGAGUCUGGUUAACUAACAAACCCUCCCAUUAUGACUAGGCACUCAUGUGGAAAAAUAUUAGGAAUAGUGGAUGUGUGUACUACUAGGGUCAUAGUAUCUUUUGUUAAUGUGAGACAAUCAUCCUAAGUUCUAUCAAUAUUAAUCCUACCUUAUUACUUGUCAUAUAAUCUUCUUCCAAAAACCUAGUAUUUAUGCUUACCAACACCUAUUCAAUUUAACCAUAAAAGUAGUAGCCCCUAGUUCCUUUUCGAUAUCCUACAAACUAGAAAACUAGCAAACUUUUAUCCUAGAUUCAGCUUAUCUACCUUUGAAUUCAGUACAUAUGUUGGACAUCCUCAUAUACAUAUAUGUCAAAAACUAGGUUUAUGGUGUAUCAACAUUUGAUCCAUAGGUGUCAAAUAUACCAAUUUAGAAGGAACCAAAUUAAGAAGAUACACUGACUUUUUCAAGGCAUGUGGCCAAAAGGAUGUACAAAGAGUUCAGAAACUCAUCAUCAAUGUCAUCAUGCCCACCAGAGUUUGAUUUCUUCUUUCAACAACUCCAUUUUGUUACGAAGUGUCGAGUGAACUCAACUAGAAUAUAUUCAUACUCCCCAAGGAAAGAAUCAAUUCAUUAGACAUGUACUAUCCACCUCAAUCUAAUCAAAGUGUCUUAAUAUGUUUACCUAGUUAAUUUUCUAAUUCCACCUUAUAUUCCUUAAGGUUACAUUUGGUUGGUGGGAUAUGAUAAGAUUGGAUAUGUAUAUCUUAGGAUAUCAUAUCCUAUUGGAUAUGAUAUGUACAUCUUAGGAUAUGAUUUCCAAUGAGAUAUGAUAUCCUUGAAUGUAUAUAUCUUAUAAAUAUGAUAUUUUAAGGUAGCAUAUCCAAUGUGAUACACUAUAUUAUAUUAUAUUUAUAUUUAAUUUGUCAAAUGAAUAAAAAAUAAUAUGAAAUAUAUAUUAUUUUCAAUAUUUAAAAUAAAAAUUAUAUCACAUUCAAAUGUUUUCUAUUUAAAAAAUGAAAAUUUUGUUAUGUUUAACAAUAUUCAUGAUUUUAAAUUUUACAAAUAAAAAUUUUCUAUAUUAUGUUAUUUAAUAUAUAAAAUAAUUUAUAUAUCAUGUAUUAAUAUUAUUUUAUAAAUAUUUCUUUUAGUUUUUCCUUUUUAAUCAUAAAUUUAAUUUAUAAUAAAAAAAUUAUUUUGUAAAAUGAGUAUAUUAAAAAAUAAAAAAUUGAUAAAAAAAUAAUUUUUUGAUACAUGAGAUCUAUAUAUCUCAUAUCUUACCAUGGGAUUAACAUAUCCCAUGUGAAAAGGAUAUAUAAAAUAAAUAAAUAAAUAAAUAAAUAAAAGGAUAAUAUAUCCCAUCACUUAUUUUAUCCCAGGUUUGGCUGAACAUAGGAUAGGAUAAGUGAUAGGGUAACUUACCCUAUCCCAUCACCAACCAAACAUGAGAUAGGUGUAGACCCCCAUUUGGGUGUCAUUUUCUACAGCCAUUUUUGCCAAGUGUCGCAGUCCCAUAGGGCCACGUGUCGCCUUGUGGUUGGUGGUCAUAGAAACAGAUGGUGGAAUUGAGGAGCGAGUGAGAGUUUGACACGUGGCAUGGAGAUAUUCUGGCCGUUAGGAGGAGCGUAUAUUUUCUGUUAAAGGGGAUUUUCGCAGAGGGGUCGGCUGGCCAGAGGUAGGGUGCUUUUCAGAAGCUGCUGCAGGGUAGUGGUGGUCGGGUGGCUGUGGUUGGAGAGAUAUUUUUAGAAGGUUGGCAGAAAAUCAGGAGGGGAGAGGAGCUUUUGUUUGGUUGCUUUGGGUAGAGAGGGAGAUCCCAGAGGGGUUAGAGGGAAAAAGUGAGAGGAGAGUUCAUCUUUUUUUUGGAAGAAGAGGCGGGAGUAAGAGGGUAACAGAGGGUAACAGUGAUAUAGAGAGAGCUUGAAGGGUAAGUUUGAGGGAGAGAGGAGAAGAGAUGGGUUUUGGUUGCUGAGUUUUGAGGGAAAGGAGAGAAACGGAGUAAGCCUGCUGGGUAACAGGGGGUUGAGAGAUAUUGGUAGAGGGUUACAGAGAGGUUUUUGGGAGUGAAGCUUGAAGAAUGAGAUAACAAGGAUAGGAGAGCAGCUGCAGGCGGGUUUGAGGUGAGUCUUUUGUUCACUUUGAUUCAUAUAUAUUUAUCUUCUCUCUCACAUUUUAGAUUGCUCGGCAUUGCUUGUCAAUUUGGGUUGGAUAAUGUGGAAUGCAUGCUGAAUUUUGUGGUUUUUUUGGGUUAUGUUAUACUCUAUUGUUGUUGAUUUUGCUGUGAUUUUUGUGGUUUGGGCUUGAAGUCAAUAAGACUCUGUUUCUCAUAUAUUCUGAAAGUCCAGUUUGAGACCUCCCCACCUGUAUUAGCCCAUGGAUAUUACAUGAAACGUGAGGCUAUAGAUGGUUGAUUUGUUAUGCUUCCUUCACCUGUGCUUUGUUUUCUUGUGGUGUUUUUUUUUCUUCUUUCCCCUGUUUCUGAUGUCCACCUACGGGGGUUGAGCACGAUGGAUAAAGAGCACUGGGAGGUUCUGAUUGUUUAUGGAACAUGAGUUUUGCCGGAUGAGAUAAUACCAGAAAAUUUCAGGGAUGUUAUGUUUGGAUUUGUGGAAUAUUGGUGUUUGCUUUUCUGGUUGGCAUAGCAUUCUUUGGCCAGUUUGAGGUUCAGUGGAACUUGCUGCUGUAGGGGUUUCUACCGUUUUGUUCAAUCAGGUAUCAAAGAUCACAAUACUCUCUUUGGCCGCGUCAAUGAAAGGUCCUGUGAGAUGAAAAGAUGCUUUUGUUAAGCAUGGGAAGUAUGUUCAGUAAGGCGGCACAUCGAGGUAAAAAUAAUGGACGGCAGGAUAAGGAGAGUUUUCAUAGGGAUGGUGACACUAUGGGCCUGAUAUUGGUGGGGAAUCUGGUGAUAAUUUGCAAAGUGCCCGUCAAGCCAAUUAGCUGCCCGUUAUUUGUUCCUCAUAUACCCAUUUCUUCUCAAAGCGACUGAACCCAAUCCUCCCUACCUUUGCAUGUUGCGUGGCCAUCAUGGCCAUGCAUAGACACUUCAAACCAAUCAUUCAUCACACCAACCCAUGGCCCUUCUCAUACAUCGUGCAUGGCUGCCCCAAGAUAUACCCAGACCACUUAAACCCAUCCUCAUUUACACCCAUACACCCUGCACAUGACCAUACUUCGUCUUGCCACCUUUUCUCUCUCUUCGUAUCAUCAUACAACCCAUUUGACUUCAUUCAUCCAUCUCUCCUUUCCCUCAUACCCCUCAUAACCCAUUUCUAGACCCAUUAAUACCCUCACAUGCCAACCACUGCCCUUCACUCACUACCCCACCUUGCAUGUCUUCCACCCGUAACUCCUACCCACCUUAUUUACUUCUUCACCUUUCAAUACAUCAUACCGAUGCCAUCACUUUCAUUAGCCUUAAAAUAUACCACCCAAACCCAUUUUCUCCCUCUAUCCUUUCGCUCAUCUCACUACUAUCCCACCUUCUAUACCUCCCAUAUACUUUUUCUCUCAUCACCUCUCAUCGUUUGAUUCGUUAGCAGCAUCCUUAUCCUUCCCGAGCAUCCAUCUAACCCAUCAUUCACCUCUUAUUCACGUGCAUGGUGCCCAUUGUGCGUGGCUACCCUUGUUAUCUUUCCACCUCUCCAAUAUCCAUCACCAAUAGCUCACUUCACUACCAUAUUUCCAAAUUAUUCGGCUGUGAUGAUGGAUGAUUCAGACGUUUAACUUAUGGAGGCUUUACAUAGGCUGAUGCAAGUUUGUCAAUGCCAUCAGAACUGGGGAUUAUCAGUAGGGGCAGUCGUGGCUGCUUUCUUGACAAUUCCAGCAAACCCAGAGCCAACGGUGACGUUCUCAUUGGUAUGAGACUGCCAUGAAAUGAAAUUUUUGAAGAAAGAACUCACUACAGGUGUUACACAAAAUUCUAUGGCGCUCGUGGGGAUGUACAAGAAGGUUCUUGUUGCCUUCCAUGCAAGCCAAGUUUUAAGCUCUAAAGCACAGCGUUUUUGAAGCGGGAAAAAUUGACAUCAGCACUCUUGAUUUGGCAACCCCUUGAAGCCAUUAAUCGGGAUACCUUGUCCCGUUUCCACUCUAGCUAUGGCAUUUCCUCCGUCCGUCUUCGCAUUUCUGGCAGAUUGAAGAACUGUGCAUUUGUGGGUUUGAGGAAUGAAAUGUUGUCUUCUUAAAUGACACGUCAAUCAAAUGGGUUGAGGUUUCUUGGUCACCCGGAAAGCAAAAGAGAGAUGACCCUGAGAAAGUUACACCAAUAUCUGCGGGCAAAGGCAGAAAAUAUAUGUUUACAGUUAAGAAUUCUGGGCCAAGAUCAUCACUUCCAGUUCCUGAGUCUUCUCGGGCAGAUUCUGGUGGAUUUCAGAGGAAACCUCGACGUAUCCGGCACACUGGGUUUCGAGUACGCGAAAAUCCUGAUAUGAGGCAAUCAUCAGGCAUGGUUUCAUCUAACCACUCUGGCUUAGAUGAUAAGUCAAAUUAUCAGUGGAGGGGAUAACAGGAAGUGCAGCGGGAGUAGUCACCGGUGCUGCUGCAGUCGGAGCGGGCUUCCAAGAGGCUUGGCCAUAAGAUCCGUAGCCCGAGCAUAUACACGGUUGGGACCUAAAGUCAGUGUGUUUCCAGCUAUGGAUUCCAGAUGGUCAACACGCCACCUCUCAGUGUGACUUGAAUGAACCUGGAAGGUGGAUUCAAGACCACAGCAGAGAAACUAGAUUCUCUAGAUGGUUCCUGGAUGUAUCCUAAGCCUCUUAUGGAUUUAAGUGGUUAGCAUCUGUAAUGAGUGUGGAAGAGUAGCUAUCGGCCAAAGACCACGCAUUAUUUAGGACGCCCAGUUACCUCGGUUUACGCGUGGAUCAUCCUUGUUUCCUGUAGAUUAGAAUCAUCAGAGCCUUAUUUUGCAUCUGCUCCUUUGAUUAGUCCAAAUUACCCAAAGCUUUCUACCAUGGAGCGCGAGGCAACUGCUUUGUCUCUGAAUUCUGGACCUACCGCGGAAAAGAGGCCUUCCUUUUCUCAAGCCUAGAGCCGUCAUGAUCUAUUUCAAUUUGAUGAGGGAGAAAACCUCUGUGAACACUUCUACAGUACUCCCAGAUUCAGGCCCUGCGAUUCCAUCUUUCAACACAGAGAGUGAAGUGUUCAGUGCUCUCGUGAAAUCUCAUGCUAUUGAGAAUGGUGGCCCCUCCUACUAGAAAAUGCAGUGACAGUUUAAUGAUGGAAGGGUCAAAUAUCGGUACCUCUCAGUGCAUUCCAGCAGAAGUGAUCCUCUAGGAGGGGUCCAUGAAGGAAUUUUCUCUGCAUGGCCACCUUUAUGCAUGGCCACCCUUGGCCAUGUGCCACCUUCCAUUUCUUCCUUUUGUUUUUUUUAAAAAUAGCUUUCAAAGUCCCUUUCUUUAAAUAAUCCAAGUUUUUCAUCCUUAGAGUCUUAGGUAUCAAAAAUCCCGUUUUUAAAUAAAACUUUGCUGCCAUUUUCUUUUCUGGCAAGCAAAUUUUAUAACUCCCAUGGUUUUUUUUAAAUGUUUUAAAAUAAGUAUGAAUUUAAUUCUGUUAUUCCAAAUAAUGGAAUUUAUGGAAUUAAUUCAUAUAAAAAUAAAUCGGGCUUUGGUGGGGGCCCCACAUACUUGACUUCAUGAUUGAUUGACUGAUCGAUUGAUUUAUUUGCCAUGCAUGAUUGGUUUACUCUAUUAUUUGAUAUGCGCUUGAUUAUACCUGUUCAUUGUUCACUAACCAUGCUUCAUGAUAGCGCAUUUGUGAUUGCCGCCCAGGUACGCAUCUAUUCAUAUUUUGCUCAUUCUCUAUACAUAUUCUGAUACUCGUACGUGCAUGUUUAGAUUUGAGUAUUUAUUGAUUUUCUCAUUGAUUGUCAUGUCAGCUUCAUUCUAUUAGUAGAGACCCGACUUUAGGGACUUAGAGGGGUGCUACGGUCUUUACCGUACCUUCCCGAUAAGUAACUUGACCCCUGAACCCGAUCCGGUUUUUCGUAGAUCACCUUUUCCAAAAUAAGGAGUCACACUUAGGGUUUUUCUUUCUUAUUUUGUUUACCCUUUAAAAAUAAAACAAAAAUAAGUGGCGACUCCAAGUCAUUUUUGAAUAAAUAAAAUUCAAUAUUUUCAAAUAAAAAUCGAGUUUCACCAUCGAGUGGGAAAACGCGUUCGAGCGAUCGAAAUGCGGGGUCCACAAAAGGAUAUAAUAUCCCUUCUCUUAUCCUAUCCUAUACUAUAUUCGGUCAACCAAACAUAGCCUAAAUGUAUCUAAACAUUAGAAUUCUUAUAGAUACAUACCUAGAGUAAUCAUUAAUGAAGAUGAUGAAAUAUUCAUACUCACCCUGUGCAUAAACAUUAAACAAGCCACACACCUCAAUAUGUACCAACUCUAAACAUUCUUUGGCUCUAUAUCCUUUACUUGUAGGAUUCACAUAUUAGAAGCUCUUCUAGAAUUAAAUUUUCCAAUGAUCCAGACUUGACCAGUCUUUGGAUCAUGUUUAUAUUAAUCAAGGCUAGGUGACUUCCUUAUAAGUGAGAUCUAAUUAUUCUUAACAUUAUUAGUAGAUAGAAUGCACUUAAGAGUAAUACGAAAUAGAUAUCAACCAAUAAGUUUGAGCAAAUAAAUGAGUUUUUUUUUUUCUAAUAAUGACCACUUUAUUAAAAAAGAAUCAAAUAAUCACAUCUAUUCAAACCAAAAACUAAAAUUAAAUUUUCUUUAGACUUAGAAACAUAAAGACAAUCAUUGAGCUUUAGAAGAUUAUUAUUCUUUGAUACUAAGGUCAUAUCUCCCAUUGGUUUCCAUAACAACCAUUGCAUCUGAAGCUAAGGCAAAGUACAUCUCCCCAUCAUUCAAUCUCCUUUUUUAAGACCCUUGAAUAGAAUUACAAAUAUGGUUAGUGGUUUUAGAGCCUAUUCACCAAGAAUUUAUGAAAUCCAUCAUUAAAUAAGACUCAAUAGUAAGAAUAUGAUGUGUACCUUCCUUUCUCUUUACGUAGUCCAAUAAUUUCCCUUUUUAGAGAUCCUUUUUGCCACAAAGGAAGCAUUACCCUUAGUCUUACUCUUUCCAAUACCUGCCUUGAACUUUCCUCAUUAUUUAGCAUUUUUUUUCCUUGCUUUUUUUCUUCUUUGUAGAAAGCUUUAAAAGAACCCUUGAAUGUAAUAUGAAUAUUUCUUUCACUUUAAGAAUCUUCUUAGUCAUUUGGAGUUCCUUUAUUAAUUCUAGCAAGUUCAACAAUGUAUUAUUCUUAAAAUAGUUGAGCUUCAAUGGCCGGAAAGAGUUUGACAAGGUCUUUAGGAUCAUAUCAACCAUAGUCUCUAUUAGGAUAGGACCCUUAAAGCAUGACAUGAUGUAAAAAAAUUGAAAAUUAUUAUUUAUUUUAUUAUAUUACAGUUGCAUUUUUAUUUAUCCUUAUUCCAUAUACUCUAGGAGCAUUCUAGCAUGCAUCUAUUGCAUUGUACAUGAUGAAAAAAAUGAAAGUCCAAUAGGGAACACCCAAAGAGGGGGUGAAUGGGUGAUUUAAAAAAUUUCAAUAAUGAUUUAUAUGGUAUACCCAAUUCUUUUACCCCAAGAGAUAUUGGGGAUAUCCUUAAAAGAUUGAAUGAAUUAUGCCUAUUAGUUAUAUAAAAAUAUGAUUUUAAAUUUUUAGAGAUACCCUACAAGAUGUUAAGGAUAAUUUAUUUUAUCAAAUUUUGUCAAUGUGAACAUAAUAUAAAAAACAAAAAGAUAUAAAUAAUGAGGCACAUGAUUUUUACAUGCAAAACCCUCACACUAACUAUGGAGAAAAAAAGAAACCAUAGAGUCUAAGACUUAAUAAUCUAAAUCCAUUGUUCGAAAUCAAGUUACACAUAUUUACUUAAUUGAUUUUCCCUAAUGACUUCCUCCCCAAUACCUACAACUUGAUUCACAUCCGUGACGCAAUAACCUCCUAUUACUCCCUAGUAGAUAUUUCAACUAUUCUGAAGGGAUGAUGAUCUUCAACCUAAGAUUCAAAGAAUAAUCCUUGAAUGAGAGAUCGAGAAUGGUGUAUCACUUUAGGCUUUCUCUCUAGGAGAUUCUUUCUAAGGAAUGUAAGGUCUCUCAAUAAUCAAUUUCCAAUCUCUCUCCAAAAUCUCCAACCCUUAAAGGGUUAAUAUAGAGGUAUUUAUAGGCAAAAGAUUGAAGAGUCUUGAUUUUUGAAGGUUUCUCAAUUUAAAUUGAGUGAAAACCUAGGCAGAAAUUGAUGAUCGCUCAAGCCAACUUAUGGACUGCUCGAGUGCCUCAUGCACUUGAGUGGCACGACCCAUUCGAGUUGUUUUGAGCACUUGAGCACUCUAAGUUGCUUGAGUGGUCCUACUCUUUUUCAAAAACUAAAUUUAAAUCAUUUUAAGUUCAAAACAAAAAUUGAUCCUCUUAAUACAUUAACAUAGCCUAAUUUGCCACAAGUCAAAUCUCUUUAGACAUACCUGUGACUUCUCGGUUAGACGAACAACAAUUUUUUAUCUUCAAUGGAGAGCAAGUCGCUAUAUAAAAAGACUUUUAUGGCUAAACAUAAGAAAUAACAAAAUUGCCAACAAUUAUAUAAGACUUAUUGUCCUAACACAUGACUUGAGUACAUUAAGAGUUGCAUGAAGAUCCAAGUCAUGAGUUCUUUAUAAGUAAAUGAUUUAUUCAUAGUCAGUUUGUGGACUUAGGCAAUUUAUUUGAGGGUGUGGUGCAAUAUUGAUGAAAGUCUGUAGUAACAAGCAUUCUCAAUAGAGGCACUAGAUAUCUCAUGUACUUUGAGAUAGUGUGCCCCCUUAGAUGAUCCUAAGGAUAUGUGUUUAGGUAAACUAUGGUCAUAAUAGUUCCGUAAGUGGAAUUUGAUAUUAACUUUUCAUUAGUUAGGACAUGUCAAUUAAUCAUACAAUAGGAGGAUUUGUAACUCAAGAAUGGAAAAUGUAAUCUUAAGAGGGUUAUGACUUUCACCUUGUUCAAUUAUAGACAUCAAUUCAUGGAGAGACUGUUUACAGUAAAUAAUAGGUCACAAACUCAAGCACUUAAUGUCUCGUUAUAAUAUACAUAAGAUAAUUGGAGUGCAGUUGAUUCACUAUAGUGGAAUGUUGAGUCAACUUCAGAAUUGGAUUAUAAGGGAGCCGAUACUAUCCUAUGGUUCUAAUGGUCCCCAUUUGAGCUUAUAUACCUUAAUGGCACAAUUUAUGAUGGUUAGUUCGGCUCUUAGUUCAAUUAUGCACAUAAGGAUGUUUUGGUAAUUGUGCAAGGUUACAUAAGAAUUAGUGAACAAUAUCUCUGGAUUGGAUUAUUAAGUAAUUAAAUCCUUAUUUUAGGUCAAUUAAUCAAUUAGGACCUUUUGAGACGAGAUUAAGAGACUCAAACCUAAGAUAGGCUCAAGUCACUUAAGUCUAGUAUGAACCCUAUAAAUACCCCUUAUGAGGUUGGGGUUUUAAAGGUUCUUCCAUCAUUCUUUCUACAUUCUAAAAAAAUAGUCCUAUCAUCCACCUUCCAAACAUCCACCAUCUAUUUGCUUAGCUUCAAGAAGGGGUCAUCGAUGCGAAAGAUCGGGCGUUUGUGAGAUCACCUUUGACUACCGCGACAUCAAACAACAAUCUUAUAUUAGGAACCCUGGAUCACUCUUUUCCCAUGUCCUAGAUGUUGUAGAAUGCAUGUAUCGAUCCUUAGGGCUCUUUAGAUCUAACAUAAUGGAAAAUAAUGGCUUCAAAAACCAUUAUGGAAUAAAGAUCUAGAGAUUUGAAACUCAUAUCUAUGAUGUAGAUGUUCCCAGAUCAAAAUCCAUCUGUUGAAGAACUUGCCUGGAAAACUGGAGAGUCCCUCUCUUCAUGUUGCUUUUCAUAUGUGUAUCCCGAGUGAUUCUUGUGCGAUUCCCAUGCGCACGACUUGUGGGCAUCCCAUGUGAUUCCCGUGCACAUAACUUGUGUGUGUCCCGUGUGGUUUUCGUGUAUACAACUUAUGCGUGUCUUAUACACUAUAGCUCUACAUCCAAGAAGGUCUUGUACACCCNAAGAUCUUCCUCCCNNNNNNNNNNNNNNNNNNNNNNNNNNNNNNNNNNNNNNNNNNNNNNNNNNNNNNNNNNNNNNNNNNNNNNNNNNNNNNNNNNNNNNNNNNNNNNNNNCCCAAUGAGUUGAACCACAAUUUUGACACUCUAAAGUAUGGGCUUUGGAAUGAAAGAUGCUAUGACUCUCUCUCUCUGAAGAUGGAAGACAACUCUCAUUAAAAGUCAUUAGGAAACCAUAACCCUUAAAGGGGGUACUUAUAGGGUUGGCUAUUGGGCUUAAGUGACUUAAGCCUAUUAAGGCUUAGGUUAUUUAAUCUAACCCAAAAUGAGUCUUAAUUGAUUAAUUAACCACAUAAGGUCAUUAAUCAAUUAGCCCAAACCAAACACCUUGUUCAUUAUCCCUUAUGCAACCUUAUAAAAUUACCAAAACAUCCUUAUGCACAAGAAUGAACCUAGAGCCAAUCCAAUCUUCAUAAAGUAUGUCAUCAUGGUAUAUGAGCUUAGAGUGGGGGCCACUGGGACCCAUAAGAGUAUUGGCUUCCUUAGAAUCCAAUUUUGAAGUUGAUUCAACAUUCCACUAAAGAUAAUCAAUUGCACUUCAAAACCUUAUGUAAAUAACAAUGAGACAAAACUCGGAUUUAUGAUCUACUAUCCACUACAUGAAGACUCCCCAUUAACUAGUGUUCCUAAUAUAAUAAAGUAGUGCAAUUAGCUAUCAAGAUUACCUCUCCAUUCCUUUAGUUAUAGAUCCUACUAUUAUGUGAUCAACUGACAUACUACAACUUCAAGGAGCAUAUGUCAAAUUCCAUUAAAGAAAUUAAUGUGGCCAUAGAUUUCAUGAUCAUAUGUCAUUUGGAUCACCCAAGGGGACACACUAUCUUAGUCUCAUGAGAUAUCAAGGUGCCUCUAUUGAGAAUACUUGUUACCACCAACCUUCAUCAACAGUAACCCAAUCCAUAGGGAUAUAUGACUACUUUAGGGUCUCACCCAUAGGUCAAAGCCUCCUAUUGAUUUUUUAUAGACUCAAUAUCCUCUCAAAGUUGAGAGUCCAUGCAGUAUAAUAGCUUGGUGAAUCAUGACAAUUGAUAGCCUUUCAUCAUGAUUCACCAUAGGUCCUGUCUAGUGUGCAUCACAUAUACUAGUGCACUCACCAUGAGAAACCUAUCCCAAUGGCCAAGACAAGUCAUCUUUCCAAUUUGAAGGUGGUACACUAAAGUCUAUACUAGAUAGCCCAAAUCCAUGAACUGAUUGUGGACAACUUAUUUACUUACAAGGAACCCAUGACUUGUAUCUUUUGUACAAUUCCUAAUGUACCCAAGUCAUGUACGAUGUAAGAGACAUGGGUUGAAUGCUCAAAUCAAUGUCAAUACACCAAAUGGAUAGCAAGGAGAUAGCUAAGUCUAACUUUGUUACAUCAUGUCUUUCUUUUAGGGGAUCAAUCCCAACAUCUUUAUAGUAAAGAUUUGAUCUAAGAACAUCUAGAUCUAAGGUAAGCAUUCUAAACACAUAAUCUAGAUCCUGUAAAUAGUUUUAAAUGUUAUGUUUUCAUUGUGCAUAGGAUCUAGUAGCUCUAGAAGUAGUUUCAUGCACCUAACCUAAUCUUAGGACAUGUAAUGGGGUAAUCCGGAGUUUCCAUCAGUCUCACCAUCGAUUUUGGCACCUAGGAUCUCUAUCUUGAUAGAGAGUACAAUCAUAUGUACCAUAUAAUCUUUAAAGGGAAUUCCUUCUAUUAUCUUAGUUUUCACAAUUGUCUUAAGGAUAGCCUAUCAAGCCAACCUGCCCUUGUCACCAAACAUCUCAUGUAAGCUAAAAAGAAUAUGAUAGGUCAUGACAUGAGUCAUAUGUUGCUAUUGCAACAUAUUAUCCAAAAAUCUAAGCAUAAGGGUUGGUCAUUUCAUCUAUCUUAUGCCAUCUCUAAUAUGUCUUUCUUGUAUCUUGUAAGGAUUGUUCAUUAGCAUUUUAGAUCUAUGAAAUGGAAACAAUACUGACUUUUUUAAAAAAUAAAGCAAAAUUGAUCUUUAGGAUUAAAAAUCUAACAUUUAGGUUUGGAUGUUUUCAAACCUUAUAUUCCAAGUGUUGAAGAUGACCUUGAAGACCUAAAGAUCUUCUACUCGAUGACUCAUAUUUGAUACUUGACAUAAAGAUGGUGGAAAUCUAUAAAAGUGGAGGCUAAAGCUCUUUUUAGAACAUAAAAGGGAGAAUAGAAGAAUGAAACUCUAACCCCAAAAGGGGUAUUUCAUAGGAUUCUUAGUGAGCUUAAAUGACUUAAGCCCAUCUUAGUCUUGGAUGACUUAAUUUAACUAAAAAUAAGUUUCAAUUGAUUAUUUAACCCAAUAAGACUCUAAUUAAUCGAUUAGUCCAAUCCAAUGAUGUUGUCCACUAAUUCUCGCACAACCUUAUAUAAUUACCAAAAUGGCUUUAUGCACAUAAGUGAACUUUGAGUCAAUCUAACCCUUAUAAACCAUGCCAAUAAGGUAUAUGAGCUCAAAUGGGGGUCAUUAAAACCCAUAGGAUAGUACUGGCUCAUUCAAAAUCCAAUUCUAAAGGUGACUCAAUAUCUUACAAUAAAGAGUCAAUUGCACUCCAGUACCUAUGUAUUUUAUAAUAAGACACUAAGUGUUCAAGGUUGUGACCUAUUAUCCAUUAUAUACAGUCUCCUUAUGAACCAAUAUUCAUAAUCUAACAAGGUGGAAGUUAUUAGCCUUUCAAGACUACCUCUACCAUCUUUGAGUUCUAGAUCCUCUUAUAGUGUGGUCAAUUGACAUAUCUUAUCUCACCAAAACUAAUGUUGAGUUCCACUUAUGAAACCAUUAUGACCAUAGUUUAUUUGAACACACAUCUUUAGGAUCACACAAGGGGACACACUAUCUCAAUCCCAUGAGGUAUCAUGGUGCCUUUAUUGAAAAUAACUAUUACUACUAGCUCUACCAAUACUGACCCACUCCAUAAAAAAUAUAUGAUCAUUUGACGAUCUCACCCAUAGGUCAAAGUCACUACUAAUUUUAGCACAAACUCAGUACUCUCUCAAGGUUGAGACACAAUAUGAUAUAGUAGCUUUGUAAAGUCACUACUGCUCAAUAGCCUUACGUCAUCAUGACUACUCAAUAGCCUUACAUCAUGACUGUGUAACCAUACACACUAGUGCAUUCACCAUGGGAAACCUAUCUUAAUGGCUAAGACCAACCAUCUUUCCAAUCGGAGGUAGUGCACUACAACCUCUAAUGAAUUGCCUAAGUCUAUGAACCGUCUUUGAACAAGUCAUUUCCUUACAAGGAACCCAUGAUUUGGAUAUUCCGUGCAAUUCCUAAUGCACUUAAGUCUAUAAAAUGCAAUAGAUGCUAGAUGAGAAUGCUCAUAAAGUACAAUGCAUGAAAUAAGGAUAAAAAAAAAAGUAAAAUUGGAAUAUCAUUAAACAAAAAUGAAUUCUAAAUCUAUUACAUCAUGUCAUGAUUUUAAAUGUUCCAUCAUAACAUUCUCCUAGUAGCCCUAAAAGCAUAAUGCUAUUAAAGCAUACUAGAUAUUGAUUUGAAACUUACAUUGUCCAUUUGACCAACAAAGACUCUCCUCAUCAAUGUCUUAGUAAAGGGAUUCGUCAAGUUCUUCACAGAAGGCAACUUGUUAACCAUCACGUCACCCAUUUAUACUAUCUCAAUACUUUGGAAUACAAGCACUUAAUAUCUCAUUCUCCAAAGAUACUUGAGUAUAUAUUUGACAGUUGUUCAAUGUUCUAGACCUGGAUUCGACAUAUAUAUAUACUCACCAUAUUUAUAGUAAAGCAAAUAUCCAAUCUAGCACAUAACACUAGAUACAUAAGGCUACUAAUUGCAAAGACACAGGAUAUCCCUCUUAAUGUGAUGUCUCAUCUUAGAUGUCAAAGGACAUCAAUCCUAAGAAAAGACAACUCUAAACUGAAAAUGUACUUGACCAAAUGCUUAUUAGUAUAGAAGGCUUUAUAGUAUUGAGCCCCUAAAAGCAAGACAUGAUGUAACAAAGUUAAACUUAAUUGUCCCCUUGCUAUCCUUUUGGUGUAUUGACAUUAAUUUGAGCCUUCAACCCAUGUCUCUUACAUUGUACAUGACUUGUAUGCAUUAGGAAUUACAUAGAAGAUACAACUCAAUGUUUCACCUUGGAGAACUCUUGUUCUAUUUGUGAAAAAAAAUGAUGGAUCGAUGAGGCUUUGUAUUGAUUAUAAGGAGUUGAAUAAGGUGAAAAUGAGGAAUAAGUAUCUUUUUCCUCGAAUUGAUGAUUUAUUUGAUCAACUUCAGGGUGCACAUGUGUUCUUUAAGAUCGAUUUUUUGAUAUGGAUAUCAUUAAUUGAGGGUCAAAGGUGAGAAUGUAUCUAAGAUUUCUUUUCGAACUAGAUAUGGGCACUAUGAGUUUUUGGUUAUGCCUUUUGGUUUGACUAAUGCACCUACUGCCUUUAUGGAUUUAAUGAAUAGGGUAUUCAAACCCUAUCUAGAUGAAUUUGUGGUGGUUUUUAUAGAUGAUAUUUUGGUGUACUCAAGGAGUGGAGAGGAGCAUGAGCGCCAUUUGAGUAUUGUAUUGCAAACCCUAAGGGAUAAGCAAUUGUAUGCUAAAUUGAAGAAGUAGUGUGAGUUUUGGUCAUACAAAGUCUAUUUUCUUGAGCAUGUGGUAACCAAGGAUGGCAUCUUAGUUGACCUUGGAAAGGUAGAUUCUAUAGCAAAUUGGAGGAGACCUAGUACUAUAACUAAGAAACUGAAGCUUCUUGAGACUUGUUGAUUACUAUUUGAGAUUUAUUGAAGGGUCCUCUAAGUUUGCCCUACCUUUGAACAAGUUGACUAAAAAAAGGGUUAAGUUUGAGUGGUUUGAUGACUGUGAAUGUAGCUUUCAGGGUUUGAAGAGUAGAUUAGUUACAGUAAUAUUUUUAUCAUUCUUUUAGGUUCAAGAGGAUUUAUGGUGUAUAGUGAUGCCUUUCAUCAAGGUUUGGGUUGUGUACUUGUGCAGAAGAGGAAAGUUGUGGUUUUAUGCUUUCUAGACAUGUGAAGCUUUAUGAGCAAAACUACCCCACUCAUCAUUUGAAGUUAGUUGCAACGAUUUUUGCACUUAAGAUUUGGAGACAUUUUCUUUUUGGUGAAACUUGUGAGAUAUUAACAUAGCAUAAGAGUUUGAAGUACUUUUUUUUCCUAAAAAAAAUUGAACAUAAGAUAGAUGAGAUGGAUAGAACUACUUAAGGACUGUGAUUAUAUUAUUCUGUAUCAUCCAAGGAAGGUGAAUAUAGUAGCUAAUGCCUUAAGCAGGAAAUCACUCUAGAGGAUUUAAGGAGUUUACAAGUCCAUAAUAAAUUUUUAGACUUAGGAGCACUUAUGUAGAAUUUCAAAGUACAACCCGACUUAGUUGGGAGAAUUAAGACCAUACAAAAGAAUGAUUUGCAAUUAGUACAACUUAUGAAGGAAGUUAAGAGUGGUAAUAAGCCUAACUUUAUUUUAUUAGAUGAUUGGAUCUUGAGGUUUGAGACUAGACUUUGUGUCCCAAAUGAUGUAAAGUUAAAGAUGGAACUUUUAGAGGAAGCUCAUCAUUCUAGGCUUGCAAUCCACCUAGGAAGGAUGAAGAUGUACAAAGAUGUGAGAAAAAAUUAUUGGUGGUCAGGUAUGAAGCGAGAUAUUGCGUUAUUUGUGGCUCAAUGUUUGGUGUGUCAAUGGAUAAACUUAAUCAUCAACAACCUGUAAGGUCUUUGCGACCACUUUUUAUUCCUUAAUGGAAGUGGGAACAUAUUACUAUGGAUUUUGUGACAAGGUUGCCAAGAACAUUAGGGGGUAAUAAUGCUAUUUGGGUGAUUAUUGAUCGGUUUACAAAGUUUAUUCACUUUUUGCCCAUGAAAGUCAACUUCUCUAUAAACCAUCUGGCUUUUCUUCAUGUUAAGAAGAUUGUGAGAAUACAUGGGGUACCUGUUUCUAUAGUAUCCAAUAGCGAUCCUCAAUUUAUUUUUAGAUUUUAGCAUAAUCGACAGAAGACUCUAGGUACUAAGUUGAGUUUCAGUACUACUUUCCAUCCUCAGACUGAUGGUUAAUUAGAAAGGUUAAUUCAAGUUUUGGAAGAUUUGUUGAAACCUCGUGUUUUAGACCUAAAAGGUAAUUGAGAUGAUUUCUUACCCUUAGUAGAGUUUGCUUAUAAUAAUAGCUUUCAAGCUAGCAUUGGGAUAACACCUUUUAAGGGGUUGUGUGGUAGGAAAUGUCGAUCUCCUGUUUGUUGGGAUGAUGUUGGAGAAAGGAAAAUUUUGGGACUUGAACUCAUGCAAUUGACUGUCGAAAAGGUUACCUUGAUUAAAGAAAUAUUGAAAGCAACUCAAAGUAGACAGAAGAGUUAUAGUAGCAAUCACAGAUGAGAUUUAGAGUUUGAGGUAAGUGAUCAUGUUUUCUUAGAAGUUUCACAUAUGAAAUUUGUAAUGAGACUUGGCAGAAAGGAAAAACUCAAUCCUCAAUUUGUGGGUCUGUUCAAAAUACUAGAAAGAGUAGGCACUUUGGUGUAUAAAGUGACCUUAACCCUAAGCUUGUCUGAGAUUUAUAGUGUAUUUCAUGUUUCGGCUUUGAGGAAAUAUGUUUUUGAUCCCUCUCAUGUUGUGGGAUUGAAGUCUAUUCAGAUUUCUGAGGACUUGACUUAUGAAGAAGUACUCAUUUAAAUUGUAGAUGUGAUGGAUAAGAUACCACAUCAUGUUGUUGUCAAGUUGUUAAAGGUCUAAUGGAGCAAUCACAGUAUUUGAGAAGCCACUUGAGAAUUAUAGGAUGAGAUGAAAGAAAAACAUCCAAUUUUUUUUCAAGACUCAAGUAUGUUAAGUUUAGAGGAAAAAACUUUUGUUAAGGAGGGGAGAAUGAAACACCCCAAAUUAAUUUUUAGGGGUAAAGUAGUAAAUUAGAAAUUAAUUAAUUAAUUAAAUUUAAUAAGGAUAAAAAGGUUUUUUAGUAUUUAAAAGCCCUAGGUAUAAAAUGGAUUUUUUCUUAUCUUCUAUAAACAAAAACCCUUUUACAUAGGGAAUUGGAGAAUGUAGGGCUAAAGGUUUGGAGGUUUCGGGUUUGAAGUCUAGAUUUUCUAGGUAAUAUUUUAACCUUUAAAUUAUUAUUUUAAAUUCCUUAAUAAAUUUUAAACCCUUUUAAAAAGAAAAAAAGAAUUCUUUAGAAGAUUUCAAUUUAGGCUAGGGUCAAUUUAUUUAAAUUUUUUUUAUUAAAAUAUUGGAAAUGAUGAAUAUAGGUUGUUUUAUUGAUGAAAAUAGGGAAAAUUCAAAUUUUCAAAUGAAUAUAUCUAAGCAAUGAAAUUGAUAAAAAAAAAAAAAAAUAGGGUUACAUGAUUUCUGGAAGUGUAAAAUAAUAAUAAUAAUAAUAAUAAUAAUAAUAAUAAUAAUAAUAAUAAUGGGUCUUAUGGUUUUUGUAUACAGUGAAAGUUAGAAUAUAUAUAUAUAUAUAUAUAUAUAUAUAUAUAUAUAUAUACUACACAAGUUUUUCUUUUAAUUUUUUUUCAAUCCAUUAUGAUGUCAAUCAAUUUUAGUUUAUGUCGUGUCACUAUGGAACUCUCUAUAUGUAGAGAAAGCAACUGCUAGAAGCAAAGAAUGGAGUGCAAUAAGAAUUUAAAAAACAAAAAUGGGGUGUAGGUUGUGCAUGUGAGUGUCACAAGAACAAAAAUAAAUAGAGAGAGAAAGAGAGAGAGAGAGAGUGUGUGUGAUUAUGGUGUAAAAGAUUUUUGGUGGAAAGUCAAAAAGUGAGGGAAUAAGAAAAAUAUUUUGUUUAAAUAAUAAUGGAUGUUAAGUAAUAAAUAAAGUAGAAUUCAAUUAGUGAAAUAAAUUGGUAGUUUAAUUAAAUUAGUGAUGUGUUUUUGGAAUCAAAUUGAAAAUUUUUUUUUAUAUAAAUUAGAAACUUAUUAAUUUUACUUAAAUAAGGAAUAGAUUAAUUAAAUUGUCUUUCAUAAUUAGAAAAUAUUAAUUUGAAUACCUAAAAUUUUUAAGAUUGUCAAACUUAUAAUUUUAAACAAAUAUUAAUAGUUAUUUUUCUUAUGUUAUGUUAGGUGGGGAGUAGAUUCUUUAAAAUUAUUUUUUUCUUCAAAGUUUUUGAGUGCUGCUUUGAGGUAAGGAAUUAAUAUACAUUUUGUAAAAGUAAAUGGUAUUAUGUUUUUUAAGUUCUGAAUAAAUGAAACAAAGUGUUUGACUCUAGUUUGUUUAACCAUUGUCAACGAUAUAUAAUAAUUAACUUUUCGGCCUUUGUUAAAGGAAUCUAAUAGUUGACCUUUACAUUUUUUGUGGGGAUUGUAAUUGAUUUGGACCCUAGUCUUUAGGGGUUUAGUUAAAGGUUACUAAUACUAGUAGUGUUUGGUUCCGUCCACCUUGAAAGAAACAAUUUGAGGUUAGCCACCUAUUUGUAAAGUACCACCUAACUAAGUACCAUUAGUUGUUUGAUAACUAGAGCACAAAUAUUUUGGAAUACUUUUGAUUUGAAUUUGAUAUGAAAUUGUUUUAAUAUAAAUAUGAAAAUGUUUGGUAGAAAAGUUUUGAAUGCUUUAAUAUGUUUGAACUCAAAAGUUUUAUGAAAAAAGAAUGUGCAUUAUAUCUUGUGAAACCAAGGUUUGGUUAAUCUUGAUUUUGAUGAUAACAAAACAAGGUUUAGAACUAAUGAUCAUAUUUCAAGUGUGAUUAGGCAAGACGACUUCCAAAGUGGCAAUCCAAAGACAAAUCAAGCCAAGGAGAAAUCAUGAAGAAGAAGACUACCUCAAAGAGAAGAGUUUUUCAAGACCAAAGCUUCUUAAGAUCUCUCUGUAAGGUUGUUGGUGCACUAGGACUUUCAUGCAUUUCAUUCUUUAUUUAUGCACCAAAAUCAUCCAAGAGUAAUAUUAUUUUAAAUAUCUUAAGAAUUGGAUAAUUUCAUGUUUUCAACUAAAACCUUGUGUUAAAUGAUUUUCAAACUUGUGUUCAAAGGUUUUAAGUUGAAAAAGGUUGAGUGUUGAGCCAAAAAAAUGGCUCAACUGGUUCAAUCGGUCGACCGAUUGUGCUCGUCUAGUCGAGGACCGGUUGAGGGAGGCCAAAAAGUUUCUCUCUCUCUCAGUGGCCUUCUCUUCCUGGUCAAGGUUGAACCUCAACCGGUUGAGGUCUGGUUGAGGCCCAACGGUCACUUUUCCUAACGGCUAGUCAACCGGUCGACCCCUAGCUCGACCGAUCGAACCCCCAACGGCUAGUUUGACUUUUUUCUUUUAUAAAAAAGCUCCAAUCUUCAUUGUUUCAUUAGCUUAACCUUCCCAAAUCAUUCUUGAAUAUAUUUGAGCCUUGGAAGAAUGUUUUUUAGUGAACCAUUGUUUCAUAACUUGCAUAUCUUUAGUGCACCAUUCAAUCCUAGUUUUUCUUGUAUCUUUGAGUCUAAAGUUCUAUUACUAGAAUUUUUGUGAGAUCAAUCUUUGUAUAUCUUUGAGAGGAAUUUUCUCAACUGAGGGGUAUCACUUGAGAGGUUGUUCAAGAGUGGGAUAAUUCUUAAGAAGUGUAAAGAGUGCUUGGAGCCAAAAGUCCAAGAUGGUGAAUUGGAACCAUAAUCCAAUUGUAAAGAGAUUGGAAGCUUGGUUGAAGCUUCAAGAUAGUGGAACCCUCACUCGGUUAGGAGGUUGAGGAGAGUAGACGUAGGCAAGGAAGUGUCGAACCACUAUAAACUCUCGUGUUUGCACUCUCUCUUCCCUAACUCUUUUAAAUUAUAUGCAAUUGUGUUUAUUUUUUUUAUUAUAUAUUUGCAUAUAAUUGUCUCUUAUUUUUGCAUAGUUUAAAUUUGUGAAAAAGAGACCAUCACCCUAUUUACCCCCCCCCCCCCCCCUCUAGGGUGAUUACCAUAGUUUGGAUUAGCCUCAAAUUCCUAACAUAUCUCAUAUUUGUAAUUAUUAGAAAAUAUAAUUACUUAUUGGGCUUUGAGCUCAUUCCCCUUCAUAGAAAAUUUUUCAAGUACUCUCAAUUUGGGUGAUAAGUGACGGUUAGGACGAGAAUUUGGCAUUAUUAGGACGUUUGUUUAAAAUUUUUUUUUUUUGGACUUUAUUUAAAUGUUAGAAUUUGAUUACUGUUAGCUAUUGUUUAAGUUUGAAAUUGCUUGGACAAUAAUAAUUUGGUUGAUGAGUUAGUUUUAAAGUUGAGAUUUAAAAAAUUUUAGAAUUUGUUUUCUACUAGUCUAAACAAGAAUUUGGUAAUUGAUAAUUUCCAAUUACAAGAUGAAUGUUUGUAUUGUUUCCACUUUGAGCCUUUGGGCUUGAAGUGUGAAAUGACCAUCAUGCCUUUGGAGUGGGUUUUGGGGCAUAAUACCUACCCUCAUCACCAAAUAUUCCUUGUAAAUAAAAGAAAGUAUCAUAAACCAUGGCAAUGAACAUGUCUUAUUGUUGCAACACAUUAUCCAAAGACCCAAAUAUAAAAGACUUAAUCUUUUGAUUCAUCUUAUACCAUCUUUGAUAUAUCUCUUUCUCUUCAUGUUUGGAUUGUUCAAAGAAUAAUUGGAGCUAAGUGUUACCUAUUUUUGCUUCUUUUUUAUUAGUUACUAUAUCUAAAUUAUUUUCCAAUCCAUAUAGUUGGGCUUAGUCCAUUAAUUAUUUGUAACAAUGAUAGUGAUAAUAAUUGAGCAACAUGAUAUCUAUAACAAAAAAUAAAACAAUUCAUUAAACAUUGGACAUUCAAGGCAAAUAAUAGUUUAGCAAAUGUAAAGCUCUAAGGACUAUAUACCCUUUUGUUAGGUAUCCUAGUAUCAUAAAUAUCAAGCUUAUGUUAGGUAAGUCAUGAUCUUAUCACUAGAUAGAGACUCUCUCAAAUUGACCUCCUUGUCUUAAACUUGGAAAGUUCUUAAGGCAAGAUCAAUAUAUCUCUUAGUUUAGCCCUUAGUAUAUGAAAGACCCUAUGUUAGGAAGACCACUUUAAUAUUCUAAUUUAAGUGUAUAACCAAAAUCCUUGACAUCAAUGUUACCAAGUAAAGAUCCAUAUUGUUAGGAUGAUUACUCCUACUAAUAAUAUAUAUAGUCUUGUCCUCAAGAAAAACCAUAUCCCUUCAUGCCAUGGCCCAACCCACUGUUGAGGUGGUGAUGACCCAAAGUCAAGAUGAGCCUUAAGAUAACAAUGAAAGUCCUUUAUCCUUUGAUUCAUUCGACAAACCCACCAUUAGGGUAGUGAUAGUCCAAACCAAGAUGGGCUUGAUCUUAGAAGUUAUGGACUUACCUAUCGCUCUCCCCUAUUUAAUCUUAUGAGUUAAUUAAGAUAUUUUAAAACAUUAUUAAUUAUCUUAAUGAAUAAAUUAUCUUUGAUGAAAUUUUUUAAAAAUAUUUACUUCCUAAUGAGAAACUUAUUGUAGUAGGAAAAUAUAAACUUGAAAAGUUUAAAUUUUAUAUGGGAGUAUUUUAUCAAAAAAUUAAUUUUGAUAAACAUCUCUACUCUCAAAUUUCAAAAUCUAUUUUCAUAAAAGAUCUCCAUUACGUGAUUUCAAUUUAAUAACUAUCUUAAAUUUAGAAUUUUAUUUUCAAAAUAAUUUAUUCCAUUAAAAUUACAAAAAAACAUAACCUUUAGUAAUAUCCUUAAUGAUAAAUUAUCCAUUUAAAAAUUUUUCAAAAAAUUAUUUAUUAUUCUAAUUAAAGAUUAAUAUAGUAAGAAAUUUCUAGAUAUUGAAAAAUAAACAUAUGGAGAGCACUUUAUUUACUAAAAAAAACUUUUAUUCUUCAAAGAUUCCUAUAAAAUAAUUUAAGAAAAAUAUUUAAAAUCCUUGAGAAUAAUUAUAUAAAAAAAGAAACUUUGCUCACUCAAUUUUAUUUUCACAAAAUUAUUUCCUUAAUCUAUACCUUUCUAAGAUUUAAUAAAUAAUAUUAUUUUAGAAUCAAUUUUCAAGAAAAUUUAAUUCCAUUAAGAAUUACUAAAGUUUAUAAUUUUAUGCAAAAUAUUCCAUAUAUAUAUAUAUAUAUAUAUAUAUCAUUGCAUAAAACAUAAAAAAAAUGAAAAUUAAAAAAUUCUCAUGGCCUUAAGGAUACUAUUAGAGAUUUGGUAAAAUAUCUUGAGAUCUAAAAUCCCCAAAAUUAUCAAAUUACCCCCUAUAACCAAAAAUUAAGGUUAGAAAACAAAAAACCCUAAACUACCAUAAAUUGCAAAAAAGAAAAAAGAAAAAAAAAAAAAAAAAAGGCUUCUACGCACAAAUUGAGCAUAUUGCACACUAGUUAUACGUAGGUUACAUGGUUUUUCUUGUCUUCUUGAAAUGGUUUUCCUCUAUGAACAUCCCUAAUUGCCUAGAAUUUUUUUUAUCUCCUCUCUUGGAUCACUAUGGAUGGACAAAUAUAUAUAUAUAUAUAUAUAAAUUUUGCAUAGAAUGAGAAAAACCUAUGCUCCUCAAAAUGGAACUUAUAACCCAUCUGUGAAGAUUUUAUUUUAUUUUUUUCAUUUAAAUAAAAAUUCUAUAACCUAAUCUAGAGAAAAGAUGUAAUAAGAAAAUUAUCCAAAACAAUCAUUCAUUCAUUCAACCAAACAAGUUAAAAGCAUUUAUUCAUCCAUAGGGCAAUGGAAUGAAUUCCUAACUAUAUAAAACAAAGUUAGCACACCAUAAUACUAGAUCUAACAUGAUACAAACAUUAAAUAUUUUUGUAAUACUUGUUGUUGGAUGAUGUAAUAUCUAUUUAAGCUUUGAGGUGCAUGCAUCUAAGAUCCUAGACGUCACAAAAGAGAUAAAAAAAAAAAAAAAACAAGACUUUGGUUGCAUAACGUGUGUUAGAAAUCAUACCUAGAGUUUGAAUGUUCUCAAACCUAAAUCUUUUCAUAGAAAAUAUCUUUAAACCUUGUGAUCUUCCACCCAAUGACUCCCUCCUACACCUUAGCACGUGAGAAUGGUAGAAUUCUCUCUCUAAGGAUGGAGGCUAGGGCUUUCUCUUUAUGGAAGACAUAAUGAUUGAAUUAAUUUAGUUUAUUGGGUCCUAAUGAAUUAAUUAGCUCUAUUAGGCUUCCAUUAAUUAAUUAGUCCAAUAUAGAAAGUUUAUUCAUAAGCUCUUGUGCAAUCUUGCAUUUUUACCAAAAUACCAUUAUGCAAGCUUAUGAAUAAGAAACUCAUUUAUCCCUUAAAUAAUCUUGAGCAAGACUAUUUGGACCUAUAGGAAAAUAUCGACUCCCUCAUAAUACAAUUCUGAUGUUGACUCAACAUUCCACUAAAAAUAGUAACUUGCACUUUAGCAUCCCAUGUAUUACAUCAAGAUUUCCUUCAGUUCAUGACCUGCUAUCCACUGCUUCUGAACUCUCCAUGAACACGUAUUCGUAAUUUAACAAGUUAGAUGCUAUCAACCUCUCAAGAUUAUCUCUAUAAUACUUAAGUCUUAGACCAUCCUAUUAUGUGAUCAACUAGCAUACUCUAGCUUAACAUAAACAUAUGUCAAAUUCUACUAAAUUAAUUACUACGAUGCUAUAGAUUUCAUGAUCAUAAGUCUAUAGGAUCACCCCAAGGAGACAUAUUGUCCCAAACCUAUGAAAUAUCAUGGUGCUUAUUUUGAGAAUACCUAUUAUCACCUACCUUAAACAAAAGUGACCAAAUCCAUAAGGAAUAUAUGACCACUUUCAAUCUCACCUUAGUUCAAAACUACUAAAGACUUUAGCACUAGCUCAAUAUUCUUUUAAGGUUAAAAAUUCAUGUAAUAUACUAACUUGGUGAAAUCAUGACUUCCCGAUAACCAAUGUCAUGACUCACCAUAGGUCGUAUCCAAUGAGUAACCAUACAAAUUAGUGCAUUCACCAUAGGAAACCCAUCAAGACAACCAAGAUAAGUUAUCCCUUCAAUUAGGAGGUAGAGAGUACUAUAACCUUAGAUGAAUUGUCUAAGUCUAUGAAUUAGUUGUGUACUAAUCAUCAAUUUGCAAGGAACUUAUACUUAGAUUUUUUUUGUGUAACUUUUAAUUUACCUAAUUCAUGUAUAAUGCAAGUGGUAUAAAUCACAAUGCUCAAAUAAAAUUAAUGCAAUUAACAAAUAGAAUAGUGGAAACUCAAGUAUAACUUUGUUACAUCAUAUCUUGCUUUUAAAGGCUCUAUCCUAACACUUUGGAUAUCAAAAACCCUCUAAAUAGGGAUGUGACCAACAAUUGUCACUUAUUACGCUAGUUUGUAAUGGAAAAAUUCAAGAAAAAACUCUUUAAAAGUUGUCCAUAAGGAAUGUUUCAAAUCUAGAAAAUUUUCAAUCCUUAAAAAAUCAAUGAUUUUGACCCAAAUUUUCAACCAUUUAAAGCCCAAAUUCUAGCCCAAUUUCAUCCAAAAACAUAAGCCAAACCUUGGCUAUGAAGACCAAAAAACUAGUAGCCCAUAGCUAUUAUGGUGCCCUCAAAUCGACUAAAACUCCAUUUCGAAUUGGAAGUGUCCAUCUCAAAUUCAACAUUACCUUUUACACAAUCUCACUUCAAUUAGAUAUAUCUCUCUCAUUUGAACUUCAAUUUGAGAAUCAUUUAAGGUGUUAGGUUUCUAACUUCUUAAGCUUCAAAUUCAUAUAUAAUAUGCCCUAUGAAACUCAUAAGAGCCUAUAUUGUAAUUCUAAUUUGGGGUUGAUAUAGGACAAAAAAUGCAACAACUUGCAAUUGUUAUGGUUCAAUCAUAGAUGCAACUGCCACUCUCCUCUCCUCUUUUGCUUUAAUUUUGAUGAAAAAAAUUCCAUCAUUUUUUUAGCCUAUGUCUCCAAAAUUGGUCCUUGGUUUAUUCUGUAAUAAAAGAUGCUAGCUUGAUUACCAUCAAAUUAGAUUUGACCUCUCUAUGGAACAAGCCUACAUAGAUGCAUGCUAAGCUUGGUUUUUACAUCAAAAAAUAAAAACCCUAGGCUCCUAAAAUGGAACUUACAACCAUUAUAUGGGAAAAUUAAAAUUUUAGAAGAGAACAAAAACCCUACACUUCUAUAAUGGGGCAUACAACCUAAUCUAUAAACUUUUAAAAGAGAAAGUCAUUUCAUUCCAUCAUAUGAAUUAAAGGAAAGUCAUACAUGCAACCUAAUGCCCAUUUGAUUUAGUAAUCAUUGUAAAAAUAAAUAAAAUUGGUACACCCUAUAAUAUAAUAGAUCUAAGCAUGUAAAAUAAAAAAUUUGUUUUAAUACCACAUUGUUGGCAUCUCAAAUCUAGUACAGCAGAAGCCAUAACAAAUUUAAAAUUGAAUCUUUAAGAUUCAAAAACCAUACCUUUGAGUUUGAACGUUCCCAAGCCCUACUUUUCCAAUUUGGAGAAGUUCUUUAAGGCCUUGUGUGU